CCCGUGAGAAUCUGGCUAUCUAAGGACGGGGACAACCACUGGAAACGGUGGCUAAGACCCGAUAUGCCGAGAGGUGAAAGUAUUUUUAGCCUUGAGGGGAGCUCGCGUCUGAUUAGCUAGUUGCGUGGGGUAAGGGCCUACCAAGGCGACGAUCAGUAGCUGGUCUGAGAGGAUGAUCAGCCACACUGGGACUGAGACACGGCCCAGACUCCUACGGGAGGCAGCAGUGGGGAAUUUUCCGCAAUGGGCGAAAGCCUGACGGAGCAAUACCGCGUGGGGGAGGAAGGCUCUUGGGUUGUAAACUCCUUUUCUCAGGGAAGAAAAAAAUGACGGUACCUGAGGAAUCAGCGAUCGGCUAACUCCGUGCCAGCAGCCGCGGUAAUACGGAGGAUGCAAGCGUUAUCCGGACUAUCAUUGGGCGUAAAGCGUCCGCAGGUGGCACUUCAAGUCUGCUGUCAAAGGUCGGGGCUUAACUCCGAACAGGCAGUGGAAACUGAAGCGCUCGAGUGCGGUAGGGGCAGAGGGAAUUCCUGGUGUAGCGGUGAAAUGCGUAGAGAUCAGGAAGAACACCGGUGGCGAAAGCGCGUCUGCUAGGCCGCAUACUGACUCUUAGGCACGCGUAUGAGUGCUACCAACU
Molecule: ribosomal RNA, 637 nt
Filed under: Gloeocapsa gelatinosa C88
Lineage: Bacteria; Bacillati; Cyanobacteriota; Cyanophyceae; Chroococcidiopsidales; Chroococcidiopsidaceae
Description: bacterial SSU rRNA
Rfam family: Bacterial small subunit ribosomal RNA
Source: RNAcentral